AGUCGAGCGGUAGAGAGGUGCUUGCACCUCUUGAGAGCGGCGGACGGGUGAGUAAAGCCUAGGAAUCUGCCUGGUAGUGGGGGAUAACGCUCGGAAACGGACGCUAAUACCGCAUACGUCCUACGGGAGAAAGCAGGGGACCUUCGGGCCUUGCGCUAUCAGAUGAGCCUAGGUCGGAUUAGCUAGUUGGUGAGGUAAUGGCUCACCAAGGCGACGAUCCGUAACUGGUCUGAGAGGAUGAUCAGUCACACUGGAACUGAGACACGGUCCAGACUCCUACGGGAGGCAGCAGUGGGGAAUAUUGGACAAUGGGCGAAAGCCUGAUCCAGCCAUGCCGCGUGUGUGAAGAAGGUCUUCGGAUUGUAAAGCACUUUAAGUUGGGAGGAAGGGCAUUAACCUAAUACGUUAGUGUUUUGACGUUACCGACAGAAUAAGCACCGGCUAACUCUGUGCCAGCAGCCGCGGUAAUACAGAGGGUGCAAGCGUUAAUCGGAAUUACUGGGCGUAAAGCGCGCGUAGGUGGUUCGUUAAGUUGGAUGCGAAAUCCCCGGGCUCAACCUGGGAACUGCAUUCAAAACUGUCGAGCUAGAGUAUG
This 595-nucleotide ribosomal RNA is filed under the name uncultured bacterium. RNAcentral describes it as "bacterial SSU rRNA". It matches the Rfam family "Bacterial small subunit ribosomal RNA", at positions 60 to 650 of the family's 1533-position model. The record is from RNAcentral.